This 4758-nucleotide long non-coding RNA is filed under the name Homo sapiens (human). RNAcentral's name for it is "LHRI_LNC941.2". Lineage: Eukaryota; Metazoa; Chordata; Mammalia; Primates; Hominidae. The record is from RNAcentral.
CGCUAGGUGCCUGGUGCUCCGCUCUGCGCUCAGCUGCUCCGCACAGCCCCGCCUGGCACGCAGCUCCAGCGGCUGGUCGGGUAGUAGUCGGUCCCGCCCACCCGGUGCGGUGGCCCCUGGGGUUUCAGUCCAAGGGGAGGGACCAGCGCUCCAAGAAGGUGAGGCUGCUGGGAUGGGUGACUCCGCCGUCACUGCAAACACGGGACGUCCCGUCUACUCCCUUACGCCUGCUUGGUCUGAGCCCGAGUCUACCUCUUCUCUAAGUCGCCAGCUCGGCACUUGUACCCGGGACCUGUGCUCCUCCCACGUGAGUCUGCACCAUGCGUAUUCCCUUCCUGGCAGGUGACCCACCUUAGGCGCUGGCGCUCCUUCCGCCCCCCGGGAAGCAGGAGGUGCCAUCCUCUCCAAUUCGCUCUGCAGCCGGACUGGGACCGGAGCGGCGGCCUGGGCCAGAAUCCGCGUGAGGAGCCGGCUUCAAAGAGCGCCCUGUCGCCAUUGAACACUCCUUUUCCUUUGGUUUAGCGUCGGAGAGCGGACGCCAAUUUGCCAGGAGAGCGCGGAAAAUUCAGCUUUUUUUUUUUUUUUUUUUUUUUUUUUUUUCCGCUAGUGCACUAGGAUUGCAAACGUCAGCUCUGAAAUAAAAAGCAGGAUAUUUCUGCCCCGCUCCUCUAUUCCGGAAGCUGGGAGGUUCUGUGGGAGAAAGGACCUGCACCCAAUAACUCAAUUUAAGAUUUAAGGUUUUGAGGGGCGUGGGGUUGGAAUCGCCUUGGAGAAACGGGUUUGCCUGCUUACCUGAGCCAAAGGAAGUUGCCCUCAAAGGCAGGUCAGCAAUCAUACCCCGCCAAAAGCAAAUGCACAUCAAAGUAACUUCCUUUAAAUGAGAUUACUGUAGUUUCCAUGUCUUCCACAUUAGUAAAUAAAUAUUUGGAAGACUUCGAAUUUGUGAUUUACGUUUAAAUAUAUUUCACCAACAUUGUUUAAUUAAAAAAAAAUCCCAUCUAAGAGAAGGUUCCUAUAGGAAAUUGGCCCUUUAACUCAUACACAGAUUACCCUCGGCACUUUCAGAAAACAACACAGUGACCAGUAUAUUCUGUCUUUUUGAUACAGCCAGAAGCACCCUGAAAGCUGAGACCUAACUGUGCUUUUGGAAAAUAAGCUUUUAGGAGUUGAAUGACCUUGUCUACUUCUUUUAGUCAGAAUAAUGUUGGCAUGUCUAUUUUAGGUUAAAAAAAAAUACAAAUUCUAAAAAGUGACUUUAAAGGCCCACUUUGAAAGCCUUAGCAUUUAAACUAACAUUAGAUUUAAAAGAAGGGCUUUUCUCCCCCAUUAUAGGAAGCUGUGUAAAAUCAUGUGUGAGGUUGUGAGGGUCAAAUGGAAGUCUAAGAUAAAGUUCUGCCAAUUACUGGUGUCUUUAAGCUUCCACCAGCAGCCAAGCACAGUGCAGAUCAUGAGUCCUUCAAAAUACGGGGUGGUUUUAAUGCUCUAAGUUGGUAUGAUUACUUUUUCUAAAGAGCUCAAAGUGCUUUGGUGCCAUAGUAUGAAUUUCAUUACCCAUUGUGAGACACAAAGGGGGUUAGCAAUGAUUCUGUUUGCACCCUGGAAGCCAAAGGCAGGUUACUCACCCACUUAGUUCCCUACCACAAGACCUUGAAAGAAACUGGAACCCCAGGUCUCCAGCCCAGAGAUUUUGUUGGAAGUUUCCAUUUGCAGGAAAUGACUGCAGGGCACAUGUGGGAAGUGACAGGAAUUUGAGGACUAACAUUUUAGUUUUCCUCAUUUCUUUUUAAAUCUGAGCAAUUGUUCAUUGAUCGAUAAUCUAUGUUCUUACAUUCAGAUAAAUAAAAACACCAACUGGCUAUUUUGUUCUUACUUAGUUUUAUGUGUAUGUCCAGGCAUUUGCCACUGCUCCUAAAUAGCUCUCCCUGAAGUCUUCUGGUCAUGAGUUAGGUUUCUUAUCCAGAAGCUCAUGUAGUGCCAGAGCUUAGCUCUCCUAUGACAACACAAUCACAUUAUUGAAACAUCUAUUUAGGGAUCUGUCUUCUCUAAUAGAUUAUAAACGCCUUGAGCUUGGGUAUCGUGAUUUAAUGAUGAAUCCUCCAUGGUAUCUGAAUCCCAGAAUCCUACAAUCCUGCAUGGUAUCUGAAACAUACUAUGCUCUUAAAAAAAAAAAAAAAAAACUUUGUAAAUGGAACUUCCCUCAAGGAGUCAGGGUUUAAGUCAAACAUGUUUCCCUUUCAAAGCCGUGGGCAUGAGAAUAGAGGCUGUUAGGAGACACAGUAGUAGUUGACUGCAAAAGUGUCUGUCAGUCAGUUGUGUGGCCCAAGACUCUUUUUAUCAGUUCCAACAACUGAAAAAUGAGAGGGUUUUAGUGGAAGAUCUCUGUACUGCUAAUAUUUUAAGAUCUCGAAGUCUUUAUUGAGCACCUAGUAUGUGUACAACACUAUGCCAGUUACUAAGAGAGAGAUGAAAAAAUAAGAUAUCUCCAUUGCCCUAAGAGAGCAUAAAAUCUUAUCUCAAGGAAAAACAAGGCAAACACUCCUAGCCUACCUUUACAGACACGCACAGACAUGAGUUAACACAGUUGUAAACUGUUCUAAAGAAGAUAAAGGCUCAAGGAGUGAAAAGGCAUGAAAUAGAAACAAAAGCAACUGACCUAUGAGUUUGGGCAAUAAUCAGUAAUAAUACCAGCUAAAGUGUAUCUAAGGCUUAUAGUGCCAGGUACUAUGCAAAAUGAAUCAUAGGAGCUGCACCUUUUGUUCAUUUUACAAAUGGGGAAACGGAGGUUUAGGAGAGUUUAGUGACUCGUUCAAGGUGACAUACUAAUAAGUGGUAGGGCUGAUAUUCAAAGAGUUCUCACCUGACUCCAAAGUGCAUCUUCUCAACCAAUAUUAGAGAUUAUUAGCCCAGACUUCCCUAUUUUAUAAUUGAGGGAUUUCAUUAGAGCACUAGAGGAGGAAGCUACCCUUCCAGUAAAAACUAGACUCCUAGUCUAGUGCUCUAUGUAAUUAAGUAAUAUGCUUAUGUUUGCUAUUUUUCUGGUUUUUCUCUUUCCCACAAAAUAUGUAAUAGGAGACGGGAGGUCAGGAAAAGGGGAGAGAGAGAAAAAGAGAGAAGUUGCUUCUUUUGAAGAUGUCCAGAAUCCACAGUAGUCUACCUGCUCAGACUCAAUGGGGUUUUAUUUGUAACCCCCAGUCUAGUGGGCAGCCCUGUAUAGCCUUUCUUCCCAUCAUGGCUGUUUGAAUCUUUCAGGUUAAUAGCAUGAAUAUUAAAGACUCCAGUGGGACUCUUUAUCCACAAAGGAAAUUGGGAUCAGGUUAAAAAUCCAAUUUUAAUAAACUUUCCAAGUCCUGAUUUAGAUGAGGUACUAAUGGCUCUUACUGCUGAAUCACCUUAAAAGUCAAAUGUAUUUUUAAAAGGGAAGCUUGUUGGGUAUUGUUUAAUUGUGCAUUGCACAUUCCUGUCUUAAUAGAAAAAGAUCAUCUGUAAAACUUAUGAGAGCAGAUAGGAAAUGCCACUAUCCACAGAGCCAGUUGGGUAGAGGGAAGGGCGUUGGGUUUGAAAGAUAAUUUUCACUCGUUUGACCAAAACAAAGAGAGCAUGAUUGCACUGUGUGAAAAUGAUAUCCUCGAAUAACUCCACUAAUUUGAUUGUGCUGAGGUCUAGAAUUGUUUCUAUUUCUUUUGAUUUGCUAAUUAGCUAGAGCAGUCCGCUAGUGAGAGGGGAAAUGAGGGUCACAGCCAUAAAACAUGGAGGAUUGUUGUUCCUUCCAACUCAGCUCACCCAUCUCAUGCCUCCCCAACCAUCCCGUCCCAACGCCCAAUUUUGUCUCUGUGUAUGUAACAACAAUCCAUCCAUCUAUGACAAAUUGAGUGAUUCUUUUCUGAAAACAGGAUUUUUAAGAUUAUCUACUUUAUGACACCAAAUUUGACACAUCUUGGCAUAUGUGGUUAUGAGGUCCAGUUAUGACUUUUAUGAUGUUUUCCUUUAUGAAUCCUGCUCCCUGCCUUGCCAAGUUAAAAUUAUAUCUUAUGAUUACAUUAGUAUAAAGGUGAGUAUAUUUUCUUCUUUAUUUAAAUAUCUUCUUUAAUCUAAAAGUUUAUCUUUUUCUGAUUUUUAGAAGAAAUUAAAUCAUUUUUGGGAAGCCCUCAAGGUACCAUAAGCUCUGGGCAGUGUGCCUAAGACUUCUAAUGGAGAAUUUAGCCCUGUGCAGAUGAUAUUGCAGAGGAGGAAUGCUUAGUUAAUUUAGUUCCAGGAUACCUGUGCAGGACAUGACAUGCAGGUUUGUCAUGUAGGUAAACAUGUGCCAUGGUGGUUUGCUGCACCUGUCGACCCAUCACCUAGAAGGAAAAAAUUGGACACGGAGAUAAGGACAGAGGAAAGAUGAUGUGAAGACAGGGGCAGAAGUCAGCCAUCUACAAGUCAAAGGGAGACAUGUGGAACAGAUUCACCCUCACAGCCCUCAGAUGGAAGCAACACCACUAACACUUUGCUCUUGGACUUCUAGCUUCCAGAACUGAGAGACAAUAUCUUUCUGUUGCUUAAGUCAUUCUGUCUGUGAUACUGUGUUUAUGGCAGCCCUGGCAAACUAAUACAGUCCCACAAAGAUUUGGUUGUUGCUUUGCAAGAGAAUGUAUAAUUCCUGGUUAUUUCUACAAAUAAGGGCAUUGACUUUAUAAAGCUACAAGUAUACCCCAGUAUUCUGUUUCUGGUUUUUGUUUACUUUCAUAUAUGCUAUCUUUUCAUUCCCAGGUGAAAUCA